CUCAAAGAUGACUCUACAAUAGGUUUCGGAUUUGAUCUAAUCUAAUCCAACUCUAUGGGUUUACUAGAUUGUGUCGGUUCUUCUACCGAUCGAACCUCAUCAAGUUUAAUCUUAGAGAUAUUAGUUUCUUCUCCAAAGAAAUUUUUUUCUAAAAAGACUGUCAUAUUACUGAUGAACACCUUUUAUUCAUCAGCAAGGUAGAAGUAAUACCCUUUAGUCUCUUUUGGAUAUCUUAUAAAUAGAUAUUUAUCAUAUCUAGGUCCA
Molecule: long non-coding RNA, 264 nt
Filed under: Elaeis guineensis (African oil palm)
Lineage: Eukaryota; Viridiplantae; Streptophyta; Magnoliopsida; Arecales; Arecaceae
Description: long non-coding RNA (EGUI_LNC053349)
Source: RNAcentral